AGUGAACGCUGGCGGUAGGCCUAACACAUGCAAGUCGAACGGCAGCACAGUAAGAGCUUGCUCUUACGGGUGGCGAGUGGCGGACGGGUGAGGAAUACAUCGGAAUCUACUUUUUCGUGGGGGAUAACGUAGGGAAACUUACGCUAAUACCGCAUACGACCUACGGGUGAAAGCAGGGGAUCUUCGGACCUUGCGCGAUUGAAUGAGCCGAGGUCGGAUUAGCUAGUUGGCGGGGAAAAGGCCCACCAAGGAGACGAUCCGUAGCUGGCCUGAGAGGAUGAUGAGCCAAAUUGGACCUGGGACACGGCCCAGCCUCCUCCGGGAGGAAGAAGAGGGGAAUAUUGGACAAGGGGGGCAAGCCUGAUCCAGCCCUCCCGCGUAGGUGAAGAAGGCCUCGGGGUUGUAAAGCCCGUUUGUUGGGAAAGAAAAGCAGCAGGUUAAUACGCCGCUGUUGUGACGGUAACCAAAGAAUAAGCAACGGCUAACUUCGUG
Molecule: ribosomal RNA, 492 nt
Filed under: uncultured bacterium
Lineage: Bacteria
Description: partial 16S ribosomal RNA
Rfam family: Bacterial small subunit ribosomal RNA
Source: RNAcentral